GAUGAACGCUGGCGGCGUGCCUAAUACAUGCAAGUCGAGCGAACAGACGAGGAGCUUGCUCCUCUGACGUUAGCGGCGGACGGGUGAGUAACACGUGGAUAACCUACCUAUAAGACUGGGAUAACUUCGGGAAACCGGAGCUAAUACCGGAUAAUAUAUUGAACCGCAUGGUUCAAUAGUGAAAGACGGUUUUGCUGUCACUUAUAGAUGGAUCCGCGCCGCAUUAGCUAGUUGGUAAGGUAACGGCUUACCAAGGCAACGAUGCGUAGCCGACCUGAGAGGGUGAUCGGCCACACUGGAACUGAGACACGUUCCAGACUCCUACGGGAGGCAGCAGUAGGGAAUCUUCCGCAAUGGGCGAAAGCCUGACGGAGCAACGCCGCGUGAGUGAUGAAGGUCUUUGGAUCGUAAAACUCUGUUAUUAGGGAAGAACAAAUGUGUAAGUAACUAUGCACGUCUUGACGGUACCUAAUCAGAAAGCCACGGCUAACUACGUG
RNAcentral lists this ribosomal RNA (497 nucleotides) under uncultured bacterium. RNAcentral's name for it is "partial 16S ribosomal RNA". It matches the Rfam family "Bacterial small subunit ribosomal RNA", at positions 28 to 507 of the family's 1533-position model. The record is from RNAcentral.